CUUAACCGGAGGAGGAGGGGACUUGUAUACGUAAUGUUUCUUUGGUGGUGGUGGGGAAUGGUAAACUGGAGGGGGAGAGUAGUGCUUCACCGGUGGUGGUGGAGAUUUGUACACGUAGUGUUUCUUUGGUGGGGGUGGGGAAUGGUAAACCGGAGGAGGAGAGUAGUGCUUAACUGGAGGAGGAGGAGAUUUGUACACGUAGUGUUUCUUUGGUGGUGGUGGGGAAUGGUAAACCGGAGGAGGAGAGUAGUGCUUAACCGGAGGAGGAGGAGAUUUGUACACGUAGUGUUUCUUUGGGGGUGGUGGGGAAUGGUAAACCGGAGGAGGUGAGUAGUGCUUCACCGGUGGUGGUGGAGAUUUGUAGACGUAAUGCUUUUUAGGUGGGGGUGGGGAAUGGUAAACCGGAGGGGGAGAGUAGUGCUUAACCGGAGGAGGAGGAGACUUGUAAACGUAAUGUUUUUUUGGUGGUGGUGGUGAGUGGUAAACCGGAGGGGGAGAGUAGUGCUUAACCGGAGGAGGAGGAGACUUGUAUACGUAAUGUUUCUUUGGUGGUGGUGGUGAGUGGUAAACCGGUGGGGGAGAGUAGUGCUUGACUGGAGGAGGGGGAGAUUUGUACACGUAGUGCUUCUUGGGUGGUGGUGGAG
This 644-nucleotide long non-coding RNA is filed under the name Arabidopsis thaliana (thale cress). RNAcentral describes it as "long non-coding RNA (ATHA_LNC000278)". The record is from RNAcentral. Lineage: Eukaryota; Viridiplantae; Streptophyta; Magnoliopsida; Brassicales; Brassicaceae.